This 602-nucleotide long non-coding RNA is filed under the name Manacus vitellinus (golden-collared manakin). Its description in RNAcentral is "lncRNA (ENSMVIG00005004966.1)". The record is from RNAcentral. Lineage: Eukaryota; Metazoa; Chordata; Aves; Passeriformes; Pipridae.
GCAGAGUACUGGGGUGGCAGGUGUGUGAAAGGUGACAAGAAUUCAAGACCAAAGUUUGAAAUGUUCAUGCAUUGUGAAGGAAAUAAUUUUCAUGGUUUCUUGCAAGAGUGUUCUGAAAAACACGGAGUCAUUUCAGUCAAUGAGUUGUUGUUCUCCCCCUCACCACAUUUCUGUGGUCACUGUCACCAGUGGAAAUCACAAGCUCGUUAUCAUUACUUGAACUGGCCUACACCAAUUCCCUUGAUCCAGUGGACUGAUGAUCAUUAGUAUCCUGCUUUCUUCAUGCCCCAGUCAAGGUACAGUAGUUUCAUAAGGUGUUACCUGCUGAUUAUCACAAUAUAGAUUAUAAAAAAACAGAUUAUCUGCUGGUUAUCGCAAUGCAAAGGUCUGCUGCCAUCAAAUACCAGACAUUUUGGAGGAAUUUCUUUGCACAGCAAGAAGCUUUUGAGCUCACAAAAGACUUCCAUUGAAAUGUUCACCUUAUUGGCCCUCUUACCAGACUGCUCACAUUCUGAAUCCUUUAGAGCUGCUCUUAGCCCCAGUUGCUUAAUAGUGGAACUGUCUCCUGUAUCAAGAGAGCUUUAAUUUCAAGCCAUAUCCCA